RNAcentral lists this ribosomal RNA (492 nucleotides) under uncultured bacterium. Its description in RNAcentral is "partial 16S ribosomal RNA". It matches the Rfam family "Bacterial small subunit ribosomal RNA", at positions 29 to 507 of the family's 1533-position model. The record is from RNAcentral.
AGUGAACGCUGGCGGUAGGCCCAACACAUGCAAGUCGAACGGCAGCACAGUAAGAGCUUGCUCUUACGGGUGGCGAGUGGCGGACGGGUGAGGAAUACAUCGGAAUCUACUUUUUCGUGGGGGAUAACGUAGGGAAACUUACGCUAAUACCGCAUACGACCUACGGGGGAAAGCAUGGGAUCUUCGGACCUUGCGCGAUUGAAUGAGCCGAUGUCGGAUUAGCUAGUUGGCGGGGUAAAGGCCCACCAAGGCGACGAUCCGUAGCUGGUCUGAGAGGAUGAUCAGCGACACUGGAACUGAGACGGGGUCCAGACUACUACGGGAGGCAGCAGAGGGGAAUAUUGGACAAUGGGCGCAAGCCUGAUCCAGCGAUACCGCGUGGGUGAAGAAGGCCUUCGGGUUGUAAAGCCCUUUUUUUGGGAAAGAAAAGCAGCAGGUUAAUACCCAGCUGUUCUGACGGUACCCAAAGAAUAAGCACCGGCUAACUUCGUG